Molecule: non-coding RNA, 42 nt
Organism: Bacillus glycinifermentans
Lineage: Bacteria; Bacillati; Bacillota; Bacilli; Caryophanales; Bacillaceae
Source: Rfam
ACGAUGUUCCGCUGUGUGAGGUUAUUCGCUCAUGAGCAUCUG